GGAUAACGAUUCUUUUAUAUUUUUCUUUAAUCUUUCUUCUUGUAAGAUUAAUUCUAAUCUAAAGGAAUUAUAUAGAUAUAUAAGGAAAUAUUGAGAAUAUAUGAAAGUAUAAAAUCAAAUAAGAGUGGUAUAGUAUAGGUGAAACCUAAGUAAAAUUCAUAUUAUUUUAAGGUUACUAAAAUAUAAAAUAUACAUUGUCAGAAUGCAAUCUAAUAAUAUACAGGAAGGUUUUGCCACAAAAGCUAUUCACGCUGGUCAAGAUCCGGCGCAAUGGAGUCAUUGGUCGUUAGUUCCACCUUUAGUAAUGUCUACCACCUUUCAGCAAAAUGCUCCGGCAGAACAUAACGGUUACGAGUAUGGCAGAAGUGGUAACCCAACGCGCAAUGUAUUGGAGACUUGUUUAACGGCAUUGGAAGGUGGAAAGCAUGGUUUUACUUUUUCAUCGGGUUUGGGAGCCAUCACAGCUAUAACCGGCUUAUUGCAAACUGGCGAUCACAUAAUUUCUGGAGAUGACGUAUAUGGUGGAACUAAUCGUCUCUUUCGAAACUGUCUAGUUAAACAAGGUAUUAAAAUUUCUUUUGUCGAUCUGACAGACGUAGAAAAUCUUGCGGCUGCUAUACAACCAAAUACCAAGAUGGUUUGGUUGGAGACGCCUACAAAUCCUUUAUUAAAAAUAGCAGAUAUUGAAGAAAUUGCAAAUGUUUUAAAGUCUAAAAAUUCAGAUAUCAUUUUGAUAGUCGAUAAUACUUUCCUGACGUGUUAUUAUCAAAAACCAUUAGAGCUCGGAGCUGAUCUUGUAGUAUAUUCUUUAACAAAAUAUAUGAACGGACAUUCGGAUAUUAUCAUGGGUGCAGUAAUUACAAGGAGAGACGAUUUAGCGGAAAAGCUUCGUUUUUUACAAAAUGCAAUGGGAAUAAUUCCGUCGCCUUUUGAUUGUGCCAUGGUCAAUCGUAGUUUGAAAACUUUAGAACUUAGAAUGCAGCGGCAUAUGAAAAAUGGAUUAACCGUUGCCAAAUUUUUAGAUAAUCAUCCUCUAGUGGAUAAAGUUAUUCACCCUUAUCUCCCGUCUCAUCCGCAAUAUCAACUUGCUCUUAAACAAUCAACAGGUCACAGUGGCAUAGUAUCAUUUUAUAUUAAAGGAAAUGCCAAAAAAUUUUUGAAAAGUCUUAAAAUAUUUGCUUUAGCAGAAUCGCUUGGUGGUUAUGAAUCUUUGGCAGAAUUACCAUCCGUUAUGACUCAUGCUUCUGUCCCAGAAGUCACAAGGAAUGAACUAGGAAUUACUGAUCAGUUAGUUCGUUUAUCCGUCGGACUUGAAACGGAAAAAGAUUUGUUAGCAGAUCUUAAUCAAGCUUUAGAAGCUUCUCAAUGAUACGAAAAAUAUUAUUCACGUGUAAUUAUUUUUAAAUAUUUCAACAUUACAGAUCGCCGACAUUGAAACUACGUAACACACACACACACACACACACACACACACACACACACACACACUGGCAGCCUUUCUGUUGAGUUAGAAAGGAGAGACAUAUAAAUUAUUAGAAAUUAUUUUUUUUAAAGAAUGUUUAAUAUAACACAUUCCAGUAAUCACAAGCCGAAUAAGAAUGCAAUAGUGGUCUAUUUUGCUACGUGCUUUGCAUCGAUUUUUGAGAUCGUAUAUAUAUAUAUAUAUAUUUUUUUAUAUAUAUGUUAUAUAACUGCUGUUAUUAUUAGUUUCAUUAUUUGAUGAAAAGAAAUUAGUCAAUAUAAAUUUCCUCCUUGCCUGAUCGCAUAUCUAUGCAUAGAUUUGUACAUUUCUUUAUAUCCAUAUACUACUGGCGAAAAAAAAAAAGAAAAAGAAAUUGCCAAAUAUAGUCUUUUAUUUACA
Molecule: unclassified non-coding RNA, 1861 nt
Organism: Vespa mandarinia (Asian giant hornet)
Lineage: Eukaryota; Metazoa; Arthropoda; Insecta; Hymenoptera; Vespidae
Source: RefSeq, a predicted model, not a curated record